Molecule: ribosomal RNA, 248 nt
Filed under: uncultured euryarchaeote
Lineage: Archaea; Methanobacteriati; Methanobacteriota
Description: partial 16S ribosomal RNA
Rfam family: Archaeal small subunit ribosomal RNA
Source: RNAcentral
GGCGGCUCGAGUGGUGGCCACUAUUACUGGGCUUAAAGCGUUCGUAGCUGGUCUGUUAAGUCUCUGGGGAAAUCUGCCGGCUUAACCGGCAGGCGUUCCAGGGAUACUGGCAGACUAGGGACCGGGAGAGGUGAGGGGUACUCCAGGGGUAGGAGUGAAAUCCUGUAAUCCUUGGGGGACCACCUGUGGCGAAGGCGCCUCACCAGAACGGCUCCGACAGUGAGGGACGAAAGCUGGGGGAGCAAACC